RNAcentral lists this unclassified non-coding RNA (220 nucleotides) under plant metagenome. Its description in RNAcentral is "partial contains small subunit ribosomal RNA, internal transcribed spacer 1, and 5.8S ribosomal RNA". The record is from RNAcentral.
UUUCCGUAGGUGAUCCUGCGGAAGGAUCAUUACAGAGUUCAUGCCCUCACGGGUAGAUCUCCCACCCUUGAAUAUUUAUACCUUAGUUGCUUUGGCAGGCCGUGGAAACACCAUGGGCUCCGGCUUAUGCGUGCCUGCCAGAGGAAACAAACUCUGUUUUUAGAGAUGUCUGAGUACUAUAUAAUAGUUAAAACUUUCAACAACGGAUCUCUUGGUUCUG